AGAGUUUGAUCCUGGCUCAGGAUAAACGCUGGCGGCGUGCCUAAUACAUGCAAGUCGAUCGAUAGAAGUCCAGCUUGCUGGACGGAAAUAGAGGCGAACGGGUGAGUAAUACGUAAGCAACCUGCCCACGAAGACCGGGAUAAUCCCUGGAAACGGGGACUAAGACCGGAUAGGUACACAGAUCGCAUGAUCUGUGUAUUAAAGGAGAGAGACACUGGUGGAUGGGCUUACGGUGCAUUAGCUGGAUGGUGAGGUAACGGCCCACCAUGGCGAUGAUGCAUAGCCGGGCUGAGAGGCUGAACGGCCACAUUGGGACUGAGACACGGCCCAGACUCCUACGGGAGGCAGCAGUAGGGAAUUUUCGGCAAUGGGGGCAACCCUGACCGAGCAACGCCGCGUGAGUGAUGAAGGUCUUCGGAUUGUAAAGCUCUGUUGUAAGGGAAGAACGGCAUCUAGAGAAUAGGUGAGUGACGGUACCUUACCAGAAAGCUACGGCUAACUACGUGCCAGCAGCCGCGGUAAUACGUAGGUAGCGAGCGUUAUCCGGAAUUAUUGGGCGUAAAGGGUGCGUAGGCGGCCUGUUAAGUUUAUGGUGAAAGCGUGGGGCUCAACCCCAUAAAGCCAUAGAUACUGGCAGGCUAGAGUACUGGAGAGGGUAGUGGAAUUCCAUGUGUAGCGGUAAAAUGCGUAGAUAUAUGGAGGAACACCGGUGGCGAAGGCGGCUACCUAGACAGAGACUGACGCUGAGGCACGAAAGCGUGGGGAGCAAAUAGGAUUAGAUACCCUAGUAGUCCACGCUGUAAACGAUGAAUGCCAGGUAUCGGGGCGACCCGGUGCCGAAACUAACGCGAUAAGCAUUCCGCCUGUGGAGUAUGCACGCAAGUGUGAAACAUAAAGGAAUUGACGGGGGCCCGCACAAGCGGUGGAGUAUGU
This 933-nucleotide ribosomal RNA is filed under the name human gut metagenome. RNAcentral describes it as "bacterial SSU rRNA". It matches the Rfam family "Bacterial small subunit ribosomal RNA", at positions 8 to 942 of the family's 1533-position model. The record is from RNAcentral.